GCUUGGCAGGGUGGGGAAAUCUUGUAAUCUUUGCUACUGGGGAAGCUGAGGCUAGUGGAUCUCAACCUCAGGGUUUCAGAGCUGCAGUACUCCCAAGCUAAUUGGGCAUCCACUGUAAGUCUGGCAUCAGUAUGCUGAGCCCCUGGGAACAGAGGACCAUCAAGCUGCUGAGGAGGAGCAAACCAGCCCAGGUAGGAAAUGGAGCAGGUCAAAUCUCUCAUGCUGAUCGGUGGUUGGGUCAUUCCCAUGAGCGGCUGCUGUACUUUCACAUUGGACGAGAAAGGCAAAUCUCGU
RNAcentral lists this signal recognition particle RNA (294 nucleotides) under Vombatus ursinus (common wombat). RNAcentral's name for it is "Metazoan signal recognition particle RNA (ENSVURG00010003167.1)". It matches the Rfam family "Metazoan signal recognition particle RNA". From Rfam's summary of the family: The signal recognition particle (SRP) is a universally conserved ribonucleoprotein. Lineage: Eukaryota; Metazoa; Chordata; Mammalia; Diprotodontia; Vombatidae. The record is from Rfam by way of RNAcentral.